RNAcentral lists this ribosomal RNA (255 nucleotides) under uncultured bacterium. RNAcentral describes it as "partial 16S ribosomal RNA". It matches the Rfam family "Bacterial small subunit ribosomal RNA", at positions 524 to 776 of the family's 1533-position model. The record is from RNAcentral.
UACGAGAGGGGCGAGCAUUACUCGGAAUAAUUGGGCGUAAAGGGUCCGUAGGCAGUAUUUUGUAUGCUUUUGGUAAAAGAAAAAGGCUCAACCUUUUCACUGCCAUAAGAACAGGUUUACUAGAGUAUAGCAGAGGAUAGUAGAAUUCCAUGUGGAGGGGUGGAAUCCGGAGAUAUAUGGAGGAAUGCCAAAGGCGAAAGCAACUAUCUGGGUUAUUACUGACGUUGAGGGACGAAAGCGUAGGUAGCAAACAGG